RNAcentral lists this ribosomal RNA (372 nucleotides) under uncultured bacterium. Its description in RNAcentral is "bacterial SSU rRNA". It matches the Rfam family "Bacterial small subunit ribosomal RNA", at positions 524 to 898 of the family's 1533-position model. The record is from RNAcentral.
UACGGAGGAUGCAAGCGUUAUCCGGAUUUAUUAGGUUUAAAGGGUGUGUAGGCGGAUGUAUAAGUCAGUGGUGAAAGUCAGCAGCUUAACUGUAGAAUUGCCAUUGAUACUGUAUGUCUUGAGUGUGGUUGAGGUAUGCGGAAUGUGUAAUGUAGCGGUGAAAUGCAUAGAUAUUACACAGAACACCGAUUGCGAAGGCAGCAUGCUAAGCCACAACUGACGCUGAUGCACGAAAGCGUGGGGAUCAAACAGGAUUAGAUACCCUGGUAGUCCACGCUGUAAACGAUGAUUACUAGCUGUUGGCGAUACAAAGUCAGUGGCCAAGCGAAAGCAAUAAGUAAUCCACCUGGGGAGUACGAUCGCAAGAUUGAA